GGAAUCAUUUGAUGUAUCUCCAUUGGAUACCGUGGGAAUCUAGAGCUAAUACAUGUAGUUAAUUGGCGUAUCUUCGGGUACGUCAAAGCAUUUAUUAGAUUAAACCAUCUACUACUCUGUAGUAAGACGAAUCUAGAUAACUUGUCUGAUCGUAUGGCCUCGUGCCGGCGACGUUUCAAUUGAGUUUCUGCCCUAUCAACUUGUUGGUAAGGUAUUGGCUUACCAAGGUUGCAACGGGUAACGGGGAAUCAGGGUUCGAUUCCGGAGAGGGAGCCUGAGAAACGGCUACCACAUCCAAGGAAGGCAACAGGCGCGCAAAUUACCCAAUCUAGACAGUAGGAGGUGGUGAAGAGAAUUACUAAGUGGUGGUUCAAUGAACUACCAACUUGGAAUGGACGUAACUUAAGCAAUUCGUUGAGAAACAACUGGAGGGCAAGUCCUGGUGCCAGCAGCCGCGGUAAUUCCAGCUCCAGUAGUUUGCUUUAAAGUUGUUGCGUUUAAAACGCUCGUAGUUGGAUCAUGCAACAGUGUACGGUAAUCUAUUCAUUAGACCAGAUAUUUCGAGGAGUCGUUGAAAGACGACACUUGUGAUCUGGACUGUGAUAGAUAUAAAAGCUGAACACUGUUAAUUGCGUGUGAGAUGGAUUGUUGACCUUUAGUGAGUCGGUAAUCCUGUCUCGCGGGAUGUGCCUUGAAUAAAACAGAGUGCUUAAAGCAGGUUGAUGCCUGAAUGUUAUAGCAUGGAACGAACAAUAGUGUAUACGUAUGCGAUUUUCAAUAGUGACAGGCCUAUGGCUUGCCACUGUUGGGGGCGCGUACAUCACCCACCAAAAUAUGGCUGUUGGUUCCAUAUACGGUGAUGAUUAAAAGGAGCGGUUGGGGGCAUCGGUAUUUGGCCGCGAGAGGUGAAAUUCUUGGACCGGCCAAGGACUAACAAAUGCAAAGGCACUUGUCUAGACCGUUUCCAUUAAUCAAGAACGAAAGUGGGAGGUUCGAAGACGAUCAGAUACCGUCCUAGUUCCCACUGUAAACUAUGCCGACCUGGGAUCAGUUUAGAGAUGCUACAAGCUCUAAAUUGGUCCCCCUGGGAAACCUCAAGUUUUUCGGUUACGGGGAGAGUAUGGUCGCAAGGCUGAAACUUAAAGGAAUUGACGGAAGGGCACCACCAGGGGUGGAGCCUGCGGCUUAAUUUGACUCAACACGGGGAAACUUACCUGGUCCGGACAUCGAUAGGAUACACAGACCAAUAGAUCUUUGUUGAUGCGAUGAGUGGUGGUGCAUGGCCGUUCUUAGUUCGUGGAGUGAUCUGUCGGCUUUACUGCGGUAACGAACGAGACCACAGUCUCCAUUUAAGAAACAGAAAAAGACAACCUAUUGUUGGGACUAGUCUCACCCAGUAGGUUGUUGUUGGUUAGAGUUGUGGCUAUAUAGCAACGUUGUGGAAGAGCAAUCUUAAAUAGCGAAGCUGUAUGGCUGUGCCUUUUCCUUUCUGUCAAGUAGUAACUGGUUUACACUAGUUGCUGCCUUAUGGAGAGACAACGAGGUAUAAUCAAGCUCGAGAAGAGGCUGAACC
RNAcentral lists this ribosomal RNA (1573 nucleotides) under Myxobolus turpisrotundus. Its description in RNAcentral is "SSU rRNA". It matches the Rfam family "Eukaryotic small subunit ribosomal RNA", at positions 122 to 1458 of the family's 1831-position model. The record is from RNAcentral. Lineage: Eukaryota; Metazoa; Cnidaria; Myxozoa; Bivalvulida; Myxobolidae.